GACACUCCAGCAGCUUGGCCCCAUUGGCCGUCA
Molecule: small RNA, 33 nt
Filed under: Bombyx mori (domestic silkworm)
Lineage: Eukaryota; Metazoa; Arthropoda; Insecta; Lepidoptera; Bombycidae
Description: ovarian small RNA-15369
Source: RNAcentral